RNAcentral lists this ribosomal RNA (119 nucleotides) under Pelobates cultripes (western spadefoot toad). The record is from RNAcentral. Lineage: Eukaryota; Metazoa; Chordata; Amphibia; Anura; Pelobatidae.
GCCUACGGCCAUACCACCCUGAACACGCCCGAUCUCGUCUGAUCUCGGAAGCUAAGCAGGGUCGGGACUGGUUAGUACUUGGAUGGGAGACCGCCUGGGAAUACCAGGUGUUGUAGGCU